UACGAAGGGGGCUAGCGUUGCUCGGAUUGACUGGGUGUAAAGGGCGCGUAGGCGGUUCGUACAGUCAGACGUGAAAUUCCUGGGCUCAACCUGGGGGCUGCGUUUGAUACGUGCGGACUUGAGUGCGGAAGAGGGUCGUGGAAUUCCCAGUGUAGAGGUGAAAUUCGUAGAUAUUGGGAAGAGCACCGGUGGCGAAGGCGGCGACCUGGUCCGAUACUGACGCUGAGACGCGAAAGCGUGGGGAGCAAACAGG
This 253-nucleotide ribosomal RNA is filed under the name uncultured bacterium. RNAcentral's name for it is "partial 16S ribosomal RNA". It matches the Rfam family "Bacterial small subunit ribosomal RNA", at positions 524 to 776 of the family's 1533-position model. The record is from RNAcentral.